Molecule: ribosomal RNA, 400 nt
Filed under: phytoplankton environmental sample
Lineage: Eukaryota
Description: partial small subunit ribosomal RNA
Rfam family: Eukaryotic small subunit ribosomal RNA
Source: RNAcentral
AGCUCCAAUAGCGUAUAUUAAAGUUGUUGCAGUUAAAAAGCUCGUAGUUGGAUUUCUCGUUCGAGGGCUUGGCCGAGGACUAACGUCCUUCGUGCCGUGGCUUACUCGGGCGUUCCUCGACCGGCUCCGUGGUGGCAUUAGGUUGUCGUUGCGGGAAAGGUCGUCGUUUACUGUGAAAAAAUUAGAGUGUUCAAAGCGAGGCUUAGGCCAUUGGAUACAUUAGCAUGGAAUAAUAAGAUAAGACCUCGAGGUUUUUAUUUUGUUGGUUUGCACCUCAAGGUAAUAGUUAACAGGGACGGUUGGGGUUAUUCGUAUUCAGAUGUCAGAGGUGAAAUUCUUGGAUUUUCGGAAGACGAACUACUGCGAAAGCAUUUAACAAGGAUGUUUUCAUUAAUCAAGA